GGAGUCGGCCAGGCAAUCGCUGUUUUUCGAAGCAGAGGAAAGUCCGGGCUCCUUCGGACAGGGCGCCAGGUAACGCCUGGAGGGUGCGAGCCCAUGGAAAGUGCCACAGAAAAUAUACCGCCGGGUGCAAACCCGGUAAGGGUGAAAAGGUGCGGUAAGAGCGCACCGCGCGGCUGGUAACAGUCCGCGGCACGGUAAACCCCGCCCGGAGCAAGACCAAAUAGGGGAGUGCGCGGCUUCACUGCCGCACCGCCGGUCCCGAGCGGACUCCCGGGUAGGUUGCUUGAGGCGGCCGGUGACGGCCGUCCCAGAUGAAUGAUUGCCCUCGACAGAACCCGGCUUAUUGCCGGCUCCGGCU
Molecule: RNase P RNA, 358 nt
Filed under: Gammaproteobacteria bacterium
Lineage: Bacteria; Pseudomonadati; Pseudomonadota; Gammaproteobacteria
Description: RNase P RNA component class A
Rfam family: Bacterial RNase P class A
About the family: Ribonuclease P (RNase P) is a ubiquitous endoribonuclease, found in archaea, bacteria and eukarya as well as chloroplasts and mitochondria. Its best characterised activity is the generation of mature 5'-ends of tRNAs by cleaving the 5'-leader elements of precursor-tRNAs. Cellular RNase Ps are ribonucleoproteins.
Source: RNAcentral